GCCUUAAUCCUGUGGCACAAUGGGUUAGUGCACCUGGCUGCUAACCAGAAGGUUGGUGGUUCAAGCCCACCCAGGGACA
Podarcis raffonei (Aeolian wall lizard) is the source of this 79-nucleotide non-coding RNA. NCBI's taxonomy places the organism in Eukaryota, Metazoa, Chordata, Lepidosauria, Squamata, Lacertidae. The record is from the annotation of a RefSeq genome assembly.